CACCUGAGGCCAAGCAGGGACCCGCUGUGACCCAGGGGACACGUGGGCGAAAGCAAAUGAGGCGCACACGUGAGUGGUCCGCUUGGGGCCUGGGACAGGUGCUCAGGGAAGCAGGAGGAGGAGCCUCUGAGCAGGAGCAGGCCUCCCCCAGCCCAGGAGGGGAAGAGCUGGGUGGGCAUGAACAAGACAUGCAGGGCAGCCUCUCAGUCCACACCAAGAGCAGCACACCGAUCAAAGUGAUCUCUCGUUCUCAAGAAAAAGGAGGCCAAGUCUCCCAGUGCAUGUUUGUAGGCACAAACACACACAUAACAUAUGCAUGUACACAUGCAGACAUGCACAGAGCACACAUACUCACACACACAUAUAUAUGCAAUAUAGACAUGUGUAGAGCACAUGCACAUUAAUGUGUACACAUAAAGGUGUAUGUGUACAUGCAGAUAUGCAUGGAGCACAUGGACAUAAACAGGUAUGCAGAUAUAUAUACACAUGCAGACAUGCACAGGGCACAUGCAUAUAAACAUGUGUGUGCAUGCACACAUGUGGACGUGCAUGGAGCACACCACCAGGAGCACAGCAAGGCCUCCUGGGCCUCUUCCUUCCUCACACACGGGCAGUGUGGAACUGUGAGCGUGUCCUCCAGCACACUGAGCCCACAUAAGAUGUGGGGGUGCCAGAGCAGCAGCCCCUCCCUUCAGCCACGUGAGCCCUCCCUAGGCCACACAGUGGGUCCCAGCACUUACGUAUGCAAUUCCAUGUCUGGGUCCUCCCUCCUGCCCUCUUAUUGCCCCCACUGUGUCCCCUCAAACUCAUGCUGAAGCCCCCGCUCAAGCUGGUGGAGGCCUCUGGCCCCCUGGGAGAGCCGGGCCUGGACGAGUCUAACUGAGAAGGAACGUGGCCCCAGGCCUCCAGAGAAGGUGGACACCCCGCGGCUCUUGUCCGUCCGCUCCCGUCUCACGUCAGUGGACACACUAGUCCUUGGCUCCUGAGAGCCGGGCUUCGUGUCUCCACAGGAAAAGCCCUGAAGCUGGGGCCCCUGGAAAUGUUCUCAUUAAAGGGCUAAAUAAUUAACCUGAACACGUCAUUUAUUUGCUUUGGCCAUAAAACUGCACUUUUGUGCAAAUGCAGUAGUCCUAUCAAAGGGGAAAUUGAUCCUUUUUUCUUGCUCAUCUGUUUUCUAUGGGGUCAUAACAGUGACAUGGCUACCCAGGCAGUGACCUUGGGCCCGGCCUCGCCUGCGGCACCUGCUGCCACAGAGUCACGUGGUGCAGAGGUCACGGGCAGCAGGCUCCCGUCUCCUCCUGGACAGCCAGCACUCACCUCCAGGGCCUGGGGCGCCUCUAUUUGUCUGAAACACAUUUCCAGGCACAAAGGCCAUCGCAGGCCUAUGACGUUACACAGACGCGCUCUCCUGUUCUGUUCCACGGUCCCACCACAGCGGUUUCCCCAGACGGUGGAGUCUGAAUAGAAUUCUGGCAUGAUGGCCACAUGUGGACACAAGCGUCUCUUUAUAGUUCCAAGCUGGCAGCGACAUCCUGUGCUGACCCUGAGGGCCAUGGGCGCUCCGAGAGGAGCCCAGGACUCCGUCUCUCCAACCCACUGGGCCCGGGGCCUGGACACCGCAGUUCUCCUCGGAGUCCUUCUGGUGCAGGUGGAAGCCUCGGAUCUCAGGCCUGCAGAACUCCCCUCCCGGGGUCAAGGGACCUGUGAUGUUUGACCUCCAUGUGUCAUAAGCUCCUGGUUGUACGUGGCUCGCUAUUCACCUGAAAGUCCUUCCAUUUGCUGUCAAGGAAGCGAGUGUUAUUCUGGGCAGGGCCACCAGACACAAUCCAGCCAUGCCCUGCAGGGCAGGGUCCAGUACGUGUGUCACCGGGUGCCUGCGAUAGGAAAGAAUCUCACGGACAAUGGAGGGCCGCCUGUUACAGCCCCUCUUACUGUAAAUAUGCCAAAGGACCACAUGCUGGAAGCAAGUCCAUCCCAACCUCAUCCAGGGAGACCCAGCAGUGGGAGGGAGCAGACCAUGACUACUCAGUUUGGUUUUAUCUCUGACGUCUCAGGAAAAAACAAAGCAUGUCCCCACCAGCGGGAGAAGGAUGAGGCGCUCUGGGCAGCAUCUCUGGCUUGACUCGGGCCUCAGCCUCUUGGUUUGAUGCAAGGUUCACGCCCUCACCCAGCUCUGGGAUGUGGGCUGGCCCGGGCUGUGGGACAGGCCCUGUGCCCUGCUCUGGGAGGGCCACUGCUGAACUGCCAUCUUCAUCCCUGAAGUGCAAUGCUGCAUCUAUGCAGGUAAGGAAGUGGACACUCAGAAAUACAGAAAAUUGACAUGGGUCGAGACAAGUAGGAUAAUCAAGAGAAGAUGCCAAAUGGAACCUGGUUCCGUUCUUUGCUCACCAAGGCACCGGCGUGAUGUGACCUUUUUCCAGUGAUCUUUGCAGAUCGAGUUCACAACUGAACAAAGAGUCCUGUGCUCUCAGUCCAUUGGCUCAGAGGCUGAGCAGUACUGCUGCGGUCCUGGCAAGGGAAUAGUCCCUGCGCAUCAGUCAUCAGAGCAACGAUGCGCUCGGCCGGCCAGGCGCUCCCCGGCCUUGCCCCCCGUUGUGGAUGACAAUGGCAGAUCUGUGUCCAGGUCACCCACCUGCCUGGUGAAGUUUAUUCCUAAGUAUCUCAUUCUGUUUGCCACUCCUGUAAAUGGGAUUGUUUCCUUGAUUUUUCAUUCAGAUAGUUAAAGUAUAGAAAUGCCAUUCAGUUUUGCAUGUCCAUUUUGUAUCCUGCAUGUUACUGAACAGCUUCUUUGUGGAGCCCUUAAGGUUUCCUAUGUAGCAGCUCAUGUCAUCUGAAAACAGAUGUUUUACUCCUUCCUUUCCCAUUGGAUGCCUGUUAGUUCUUCUUCCUGCCCAAAUGCUGUGACUAGGACCUCCAGGGUGGGCUGGACAAAGGCAGUGAUGGCGGGCUUAUUUGUUUUGCUGCUGAUCGAGAGGAAAGUCUUUCAGCGCCUCAUCACUGAAUUUGAUGCUUAUGAAUUUUCUAUGCGCCUCAUCAUUGAAUUUGAUGCUUAUGAAUUUUCUAUAGCUCUUUUGUUGAGCAGUUGUGACAGAGACCAUCUGGCCUGAGAAACCUAAAAUUAAUCUGGUGCUUUACAGAAAAAGAUGACCCUUUUCUAAAACGUGGCUGCAUUAACACUGCCUGAGCCAUGCACUGUACUGUCAGUUACUGACAUACCGUCUCCCUGGGGGACCAGAACCCGGAACCCGUCCUAUUCACUUCUCUCUCCCCCACAUCCAAACACCAGCCUUACCAUAGACUCCAGUAAGCACAGGUGGGUGCACGAGGGCCCCAGGGAGGAAAGCACACCGCCUGAGCCCUCCCCUAUGGGGCAUAAGGGGACUUGUUUGGAAACAUCACCCAGAAACUAGUCACAGUGUUUCACAGCACAGGGCAUAGCUGAUAGUGAAGAUCAAGCGGAUGCCGUUCUGCGACGCACUCGAGGGGAAUGAGAAGUGUAUACCCGCUGCUGCUGAUAACGGGCAUAAACUGAGUUUUGAUAAAAUAAGUAUUUUCUGAUUGACCUCGUGGAAGAUCUAAAUGAAGGGUUAUUGUCAUAUCCGAUUGAUCUUUCAUAGCCAGUAACUUUUACUAUUUUAACACUGAAAGGGGUCGGUGAUCCCGAACCGAGUGACUUCCAGACACCUUGGAGGGGUUGUUAAUGGCCUUCACUGCGGGCCUACAGUGCAUCGAAUAAAGGACCCUUGUUUAACUGCA
Long non-coding RNA from Manis javanica (Malayan pangolin), 3756 nucleotides. RefSeq lists it as uncharacterized. The record is from RefSeq and is a predicted model, not a curated record. NCBI's taxonomy places the organism in Eukaryota, Metazoa, Chordata, Mammalia, Pholidota, Manidae.